UAAAAUCAAAAAUGAAAAGCAUAGGUGGCAGCCUCGCCAAGCUACCAAAAAGGAAAACGGCUACAUCGAUCUAUACGCCAAGAAGACGACCUGCAAAAGCCAACGACCUAAAUAGAAAUAACCGACAUUAACGUUCACCAAAAAAGCAGAAAAUGAUUAUCUUGCGAAGUUAACCUUUUUCUAUCGCAGAAAUAUGUUCAUCCACGCCACCACUUUUUUGGUCAUCCAAGAGUUAUGCCAAGAAAAAGACCUUCAAAAGCCAACUACCUAAACAGAAAUAACCCACAUCAAACGUUUACAAAAAGGCGAAAAUGAUUGUCUAGCGAAGUUAACCUUUUUUCUAUCGUAGAAAGAUGUUCAUCCAUACCACCACUUUUUUCGUCAACCAUGAAUUUGCAGUAACCCCCCC
This 409-nucleotide long non-coding RNA is filed under the name Setaria viridis. Its description in RNAcentral is "long non-coding RNA (SVIR_LNC006136)". The record is from RNAcentral. Lineage: Eukaryota; Viridiplantae; Streptophyta; Magnoliopsida; Poales; Poaceae.